Molecule: ribosomal RNA, 1524 nt
Filed under: Klebsiella pneumoniae
Lineage: Bacteria; Pseudomonadati; Pseudomonadota; Gammaproteobacteria; Enterobacterales; Enterobacteriaceae
Also listed under: 1 other name
Description: bacterial SSU rRNA
Rfam family: Bacterial small subunit ribosomal RNA
Source: RNAcentral
AAAUUGAAGAGUUUGAUCAUGGCUCAGAUUGAACGCUGGCGGCAGGCCUAACACAUGCAAGUCGAGCGGUAGCACAGAGAGCUUGCUCUCGGGUGACGAGCGGCGGACGGGUGAGUAAUGUCUGGGAAACUGCCUGAUGGAGGGGGAUAACUACUGGAAACGGUAGCUAAUACCGCAUAAUGUCGCAAGACCAAAGUGGGGGACCUUCGGGCCUCAUGCCAUCAGAUGUGCCCAGAUGGGAUUAGCUAGUAGGUGGGGUAACGGCUCACCUAGGCGACGAUCCCUAGCUGGUCUGAGAGGAUGACCAGCCACACUGGAACUGAGACACGGUCCAGACUCCUACGGGAGGCAGCAGUGGGGAAUAUUGCACAAUGGGCGCAAGCCUGAUGCAGCCAUGCCGCGUGUGUGAAGAAGGCCUUCGGGUUGUAAAGCACUUUCAGCGGGGAGGAAGGCGUUAAGGUUAAUAACCUUGGCGAUUGACGUUACCCGCAGAAGAAGCACCGGCUAACUCCGUGCCAGCAGCCGCGGUAAUACGGAGGGUGCAAGCGUUAAUCGGAAUUACUGGGCGUAAAGCGCACGCAGGCGGUCUGUCAAGUCGGAUGUGAAAUCCCCGGGCUCAACCUGGGAACUGCAUUCGAAACUGGCAGGCUAGAGUCUUGUAGAGGGGGGUAGAAUUCCAGGUGUAGCGGUGAAAUGCGUAGAGAUCUGGAGGAAUACCGGUGGCGAAGGCGGCCCCCUGGACAAAGACUGACGCUCAGGUGCGAAAGCGUGGGGAGCAAACAGGAUUAGAUACCCUGGUAGUCCACGCCGUAAACGAUGUCGAUUUGGAGGUUGUGCCCUUGAGGCGUGGCUUCCGGAGCUAACGCGUUAAAUCGACCGCCUGGGGAGUACGGCCGCAAGGUUAAAACUCAAAUGAAUUGACGGGGGCCCGCACAAGCGGUGGAGCAUGUGGUUUAAUUCGAUGCAACGCGAAGAACCUUACCUGGUCUUGACAUCCACAGAACUUUCCAGAGAUGGAUUGGUGCCUUCGGGAACUGUGAGACAGGUGCUGCAUGGCUGUCGUCAGCUCGUGUUGUGAAAUGUUGGGUUAAGUCCCGCAACGAGCGCAACCCUUAUCCUUUGUUGCCAGCGGUUCGGCCGGGAACUCAAAGGAGACUGCCAGUGAUAAACUGGAGGAAGGUGGGGAUGACGUCAAGUCAUCAUGGCCCUUACGACCAGGGCUACACACGUGCUACAAUGGCAUAUACAAAGAGAAGCGACCUCGCGAGAGCAAGCGGACCUCAUAAAGUAUGUCGUAGUCCGGAUUGGAGUCUGCAACUCGACUCCAUGAAGUCGGAAUCGCUAGUAAUCGUAGAUCAGAAUGCUACGGUGAAUACGUUCCCGGGCCUUGUACACACCGCCCGUCACACCAUGGGAGUGGGUUGCAAAAGAAGUAGGUAGCUUAACCUUCGGGAGGGCGCUUACCACUUUGUGAUUCAUGACUGGGGUGAAGUCGUAACAAGGUAACCGUAGGGGAACCUGCGG